Molecule: long non-coding RNA, 274 nt
Filed under: Lathyrus oleraceus (garden pea)
Lineage: Eukaryota; Viridiplantae; Streptophyta; Magnoliopsida; Fabales; Fabaceae
Description: Pisum sativum (pea) long non-coding RNA (PSAT_LNC037076)
Source: RNAcentral
AACGAUCAUUACCAGCAAAAGGGGUAAAUGAAAGAUGACUCGUCGGGAUACAUUGCUUUGUCAGAAUAAUCAUCCGAGAGAUAUAUCACUAGUUAUUGGGAGAUAUACUCAAAAGGAUGAAGGAAUAUCAAUAUCGAAUAUUGGAUAAAGAUAACCAACAAGAAGGGGAUUACGUCUACUGGUUAUUGGGUAGAAAACCAACGAAGUAGGACUUACAACUACCGGAUACUGGGCAGAAGGCCAGACAACUCCGCCCAGGAAAAGAUGGACAAUU